RNAcentral lists this ribosomal RNA (411 nucleotides) under uncultured microorganism. RNAcentral's name for it is "bacterial SSU rRNA". It matches the Rfam family "Archaeal small subunit ribosomal RNA", at positions 330 to 744 of the family's 1478-position model. The record is from RNAcentral.
GUGCACCAGGCGCGAAUACUUUACAAUGUGCGAAAGCACGAUAAGGGAACUCUGAGUGCCUCCUAAGGAGGCUGUUCAGGUGUCUAAAAGCACCUGAAGGAAGGGCUGGGUAAGACCGGUGCCAGCCGCCGCGGUAACACCGGCAGCCCAAGUGGUAGCCACGUUUAUUGGGUCUAAAGCGUCCGUAGCCGGCUGGGUAAGUUCCUUGGGAAAUUUGGCUGCUUAACAGUCAAGCUUUCAGGGAAUGCUGCCCGGCUUGGGACCGGGAGAGGUCAGAGGUACUCCAGGGGUAGGGUGAAAUCCGAUUAAUCCUUGGGGGACCACCGGUAGCGAAGGCGUCGUGACCAGACCGGGUCCGACCGGUGAGGGACGAAGGCUAGGGGCGCGAACCGGGAUUAGAUACCCGCGUAG